AUGAACAAAAGAAAAAGGAUGGCUAGGGGAGCCGCUGUUUUUGUUGCACUAGCUGCAAUGGCAGACAUUGUUCGGGCUAUAAUAAGGAAGAGGAUACCACGUAUUACCUAUGGCCCAAUGCAUGAAAGAGAUCGAAUCAGAUUUGAUUAUCUAAACCAAAAAAUUUGGCAAAGCGAUGUGUUAUGCAAAAACAUGCUAAGGUUUGAAAGAGCUGCAUUCUUUCGCUUGUGCGGCAUAUUGAGGGAUCGCAAAUUGCUACAAGACAGUCCACAUCUUAGUGUGGAGCAACAUGUUUUUGCAUACAAUUGGGCAUAA
This 315-nucleotide ribosomal RNA is filed under the name Triticum aestivum (bread wheat). Its description in RNAcentral is "partial small subunit ribosomal RNA". Lineage: Eukaryota; Viridiplantae; Streptophyta; Magnoliopsida; Poales; Poaceae. The record is from RNAcentral.